This 468-nucleotide ribosomal RNA is filed under the name uncultured bacterium. Its description in RNAcentral is "partial 16S ribosomal RNA". It matches the Rfam family "Bacterial small subunit ribosomal RNA", at positions 28 to 507 of the family's 1533-position model. The record is from RNAcentral.
GACGAACGCUGGCGGCGUGCUUAACACAUGCAAGUCGAACGGAAAGGCCCUGCUCUUGUUGGGUGCUCGAGUGGCGAACGGGUGAGUAACACGUGAGUAACCUGCACUUGACUUUCGGAUAACUUCAGGAAACUGGGGCUAAUACCCGAUAGGAGCUCCUGCUGCAUGGUGGGGGUUGGAAAGUUUCGGCGGUUGGGGAUGGACUCGCGGCUUAUCCGCUUGUUGGUCGGGUAGUGGCGUACGAAGGCUUUGACGGGUAGCCGGCCUGAGAGGGUGAACGGGGACAUGGGGACUGAGAUACGGACCAGAAUCGUACGGGAGGCAGUAGUGGGGAAUAUUGCACAAUGGGCGGAAGCCUGAUGCAGCAACGCUGCGUGCGGGAUGCCGGCUUUCGGGUUGUAAACCGCUUUCGCCGGUGACGAAGCGUGAGUGACGGUAAUGGGUAAAGAAGCACCGGCUAACUACGUG